UACGUAGGGUGCAAGCGUUAAUCGGAAUUAUUGGGCGUAAAGGGUGCGCAGGCGGUAUUGUAAGUCAGAUGUGAAAGCCCCGGGCUUAACCUGGGAAUUGCGUUUGAAACUGCAAUGCUAGAGUGUGGUAGAGGAGAGUGGAAUUCCAUGUGUAGCAGUGAAAUGCGUAGAGAUGUGGAAGAACACCAAUGGCGAAGGCAGCUCUCUGGAUUAACACUGACGCUCAUGCACGAAAGCGUGGGGAGCAAACAGGAUUAGAUACCCUUGUAGUCC
RNAcentral lists this ribosomal RNA (273 nucleotides) under uncultured prokaryote. RNAcentral describes it as "partial 16S ribosomal RNA". It matches the Rfam family "Bacterial small subunit ribosomal RNA", at positions 524 to 796 of the family's 1533-position model. The record is from RNAcentral.